This 423-nucleotide ribosomal RNA is filed under the name uncultured bacterium. RNAcentral describes it as "bacterial SSU rRNA". It matches the Rfam family "Bacterial small subunit ribosomal RNA", at positions 355 to 793 of the family's 1533-position model. The record is from RNAcentral.
UGAGGAAUAUUGGUCAAUGGGCGCAAGCCUGAACCAGCGACGCCGCGUGGGUGAAGAAGGCCUUCGGGUCGUAAAGCCCUUUUCUGUGUGAAGAGAGAGGACGGUAGCACAGGAAUAAGCGUCGGCUAACUACGUGCCAGCAGCCGCGGUAAAACGUAGGACGCAAGCGUUAUCCGGAAUUACUGGGCGUAAAGGGCGUGCAGGCGGUUUCCUAAGUCAGGCGUGAAAGCCACGGGCUAAACCUGGGGGAGGACGUUUGAUACUGGGGGACUAGAGUGUGGUAGAGGGGUGUAGAAUUCCGGGUGUAGUGGUGAAAUGCGUAGAUAUCCGGAGGAAUACCAGUGGCGAAGGCGGCACCCUGGGCCAUAACUGACGCUAAGACGCGAAAGCAUGGGUAGCGAACGGGAUUAGAAACCCCGGUAG